AACGAACGCUGGCGGCAGGCUUAACACAUGCAAGUCGAACGCCCCGCAAGGGGAGUGGCCGACGGGUGAGUAACGCGUGGGAACAUACCCUUUCCUGCGGAAUAGCUCCGGGAAACUGGAAUUAAUACCGCAUACGCCCUACGGGGGAAAGAUUUAUCGGGGAAGGAUUGGCCCGCGUUGGAUUAGCUAGUUGGUGGGGUAAAGGCCUACCAAGGCGAUGAUCCAUAGCUGGUCUGAGAGGAUGAUCAGCCACAUUGGGACUGAGACACGGCCCAAACUCCUACGGGAGGCAGCAGUGGGGAAUAUUGGACAAUGGGCGCAAGCCUGAUCCAGCCAUGCCGCGCGAGUGAUGAAGGCCUUAGGGUUGUAAAGCUCUUUCACCGAUGAAGAUAAUGACGGUAGUCGGAGAAGAAGCCCCGGCUAACUUCGUG
RNAcentral lists this ribosomal RNA (431 nucleotides) under uncultured bacterium. RNAcentral's name for it is "partial 16S ribosomal RNA". It matches the Rfam family "Bacterial small subunit ribosomal RNA", at positions 29 to 507 of the family's 1533-position model. The record is from RNAcentral.